AUUGAACGCUGGCGGCAUGCCUUACACAUGCAAGUCGAACGGCAGCACGGGGCAACCCUGGUGGCGAGUGGCGAACGGGUGAGUAAUACAUCGGAACGUGUCCUGGAGUGGGGGAUAGCCCGGCGAAAGCCGGAUUAAUACCGCAUACGCUCUAUGGAGGAAAGCGGGGGAUCUUCGGACCUCGCGCUCAAGGGGCGGCCGAUGGCGGAUUAGCUAGUUGGUAGGGUAAAGGCCUACCAAGGCGACGAUCCGUAGCUGGUCUGAGAGGACGACCAGCCACACUGGGACUGAGACACGGCCCAGACUCCUACGGGAGGCAGCAGUGGGGAAUUUUGGACAAUGGGGGCAACCCUGAUCCAGCAAUGCCGCGUGUGUGAAGAAGGCCUUCGGGUUGUAAAGCACUUUUGUCCGGAAAGAAAUCCUCUGGGUUAAUACCUCGGGGGGAUGACGGUACCGGAAG
This 460-nucleotide ribosomal RNA is filed under the name bacterium Ellin366. RNAcentral describes it as "bacterial SSU rRNA". It matches the Rfam family "Bacterial small subunit ribosomal RNA", at positions 29 to 484 of the family's 1533-position model. Lineage: Bacteria; Pseudomonadati; Pseudomonadota; Betaproteobacteria; Burkholderiales; Burkholderiaceae. The record is from RNAcentral.